Molecule: long non-coding RNA, 1145 nt
Filed under: Sus scrofa (pig)
Lineage: Eukaryota; Metazoa; Chordata; Mammalia; Artiodactyla; Suidae
Description: lncRNA (ENSSSCG00065008474.1)
Source: RNAcentral
CUGCCCUCUGCUCCGAAGAAUGAGCAAGUUGAUCCUAAGGAUGCAGGAGGCACAAUUUUCUGCGGGAGGAAGGAUGACGGUGCCUUCCAGCGCGCCGACACCCGUGCCCCGCUCCCAGGCAAUGGCUCAGGCUGGGAACAAGACCCAAUGGAAGGCGUUUGGUCCGGAGCACAGAAUCCUCACAGGCCCGCAGGCUCGGAAAACAAGGUGUCUGGCCCCGCCCUCUGGGUUAAUUGCCCUGGGCGGGGCUUGGGCGGGGCCUGAGCCGCCCUGGUAGUAAAAGCAGGUCCUCGGCCAUCUCAGCCUAGGCUGGAGGAGCAGGGUGGAGGCCAGGCUCCUCGGACCCUGCGGGCGCUGGUUGGUCAGCAGGGCUCGUACCCAGCCGAGCUCCCUGGGGAGUUGGCCUGCUCUCCGACCUCUCCUGAGUGGCCAGGAUCUAGAUCUGCUGAAAGAUGUAAUUUGAUAGGGGAGUAGGGGCUCCAUGUUGGCUUUUGUUUCCAGCAGCUACUUCUGGAGGGCCCCGCAUCUCAAAGGUAUGGGACUUACUCAGGCAUGAGUGAGAUUUCCAUUCUGGUUUUGCUGGUGUGAUGUUCCUGCGUGUGUGUGCGUUUUCUCUGAUGGCCAGAGUUUCCCGGUUGAGGGGGUACAGCAGGGUGGGACACCCCCCACCCCCACCCCGUGUAUCUGGUUCCCUGUCAAGAUGUAGUCCCAUGGUAAUAUAUCAAAACCCCACUUCCCACCUGACACACGUGGGAAGCCCCUCUGUUCAGGCAUGCCCAAUCAAGCUGUUUUCCUUUCCUGGGUUUGUGUGUAGGUCUCAGAUGCCUCUGCUCCCAUAUUCGCCUCCGUUCCUGCAUUCAGUGACUCGGCUUUGCUGGGACCAUGGGAUACCCUGGAUCUGGAGGAUGCCAGUUGUAUUUUCAGAGAAUGAAAGAGAAGCUGAAUCCUACAAUCAUGAGGGGGCAUUUCCGUCCAGACCCGGAACGUGGCGUGCUGUGGCCCUGGGCGCAGAGGAGGAGGUGACCUGUUCAGCUCUUCCUGCUGCUCUCCUGGAAUUCAGACUUGGAAUCACUGCCAAGAACUGGUCAUCGUUGUGUUCUGAAGACAUAGGAGGGAGAAGCUCUCAACAGUUUUCUUUGUUCUGA